RNAcentral lists this ribosomal RNA (757 nucleotides) under uncultured bacterium. Its description in RNAcentral is "bacterial SSU rRNA". It matches the Rfam family "Bacterial small subunit ribosomal RNA", at positions 576 to 1341 of the family's 1533-position model. The record is from RNAcentral.
CGGUUUAGUAAGUCAGUGGUGAAAGCCCAUCGCUCAACGGUGGAACGGCCAUUGAUACUGCUAAACUUGAAUUAUUAGGAAGUAACUAGAAUAUGUAGUGUAGCGGUGAAAUGCUUAGAGAUUACAUGGAAUACCAAUUGCGAAGGCAGGUUACUACUAAUGGAUUGACGCUGAUGGACGAAAGCGUGGGUAGCGAACAGGAUUAGAUACCCUGGUAGUCCACGCCGUAAACGAUGGAUACUAGCUGUUGGGAGCAAUCUCAGUGGCUAAGCGAAAGUGAUAAGUAUCCCACCUGGGGAGUACGUUCGCAAGAAUGAAACUCAAAGGAAUUGACGGGGGCCCGCACAAGCAGUGGAGCAUGUGGUUUAAUUCGAUGAUACGCGAGGAACCUUACCAAGGCUUAAAUGUAGAUUGACCGGUUUGGAAACAGACUUUUCGCAAGACAAUUUACAAGGUGCUGCAUGGUUGUCGUCAGCUCGUGCCGUGAGGUGUCAGGUUAAGUCCUAUAACGAGCGCAACCCCUGUUGUUAGUUGCCAGCGAGUCAUGUCGGGAACUCUAACGAGACUGCCAGUGCAAACUGAGAGGAAGGUGGGGAUGACGUCAAAUCAUCACGGCCCUUACGCCUUGGGCUACACACGUGCUACAAUGGCCGGUACAGAGAGCAGCCACUGGGUGACCAGGAGCGAAUCUAUAAAACCGGUCACAGUUCGGAUCGGAGUCUGCAACUCGACUCCGUGAAGCUGGAAUCGCUAGUAA